GAUGAACGCUGGCGGCGUGCCUAAUACAUGCAAGUCGAGCGAACAGAUAAGGAGCUUGCUCCUUUGACGUUAGCGGCGGACGGGUGAGUAACACGUGGGUAACCUACCUAUAAGACUGGAAUAACUCCGGGAAACCGGGGCUAAUGCCGGAUAACAUGUUGAACCGCAUGGUUCUACAGUGAAAGGCGGCUUUGCUGUCACUUAUAGAUGGACCCGCGCCGUAUUAGCUAGUUGGUGAGGUAACGGCUCACCAAGGCAACGAUACGUAGCCGACCUGAGAGGGUGAUCGGCCACACUUGAACUGAGACACGGUCCAGACUCCUACGGGAGGCAGCAGUAGGGAAUCUUCCGCAAUGGGCGAAAGCCUGACGGAGCAACGCCGCGUGAGUGAUGAAGGUCUUCGGAUCGUAAAACUCUGUUAUUAGGGAAGAACAAAUGCGUAAGUAACUGUGCGCGUCUUGACGGGACCUAAUCAGAAAGCCACGGCUAACUACGUG
RNAcentral lists this ribosomal RNA (497 nucleotides) under uncultured bacterium. RNAcentral describes it as "partial 16S ribosomal RNA". It matches the Rfam family "Bacterial small subunit ribosomal RNA", at positions 28 to 507 of the family's 1533-position model. The record is from RNAcentral.